CAACUCCUCUGCAGGGCCACAAUCCUUUUCCCACUUUUUCAAAACAAAAGAUCUCCCUUCUCCCACUGAUGGAUGUGUCGAUUGCACCCUUCAAGCAAUGUAGACCACACGUCAAUCGUACUACUGCCAUUUUAUUCUGAAUUUUUGCGUUUCUGUCUUUUUUUUACAGUAAUAAUGCAAUUUGUAAUACUGUCAAGCACUCCUAAUUGAUCAUUAGGGUCUAUCCAAAUAUUUUUUGGUGUUUGGCAAGGGUUCCAAGAAAUUAGUUUAUAAAUGAUUGAAGGAAUGUUGUGAUUAGCUGAAAAGAGAAUGUAGUUGAAAAAAAUUAAAUCAGAGUGAUAUAUUUUAAAACAAAGUUUAAGUAGUGGAAAUAGAUUUAUUUUGGAACAAAGUGAGUACACUAUUUAGCACCACAAAGACUAUUUUUUUGUUUGUCCCUUUUUGUUUCACAAAUUACGUAUCUUGGAGCAAUUAAUGCAUUGAAAUUCAAAUGCAUUUAAGUGAAAGCACGAGACAAUACAUUAGAAUUUAAAAAGGUAAAGGUCAUGAUUUUCUUUAAAAAAAAUGGUAUUGGUAUGUGUGCUAAAUAAAAUCUUAUUAGGAGAGAGUACAUUAAACAAGUUUAAGAACUUGAUGACCACAAUAGAACACGCAAAUUAACCAUCGGUCAUAUACACAUAUGGAGUGUUCGGUGAAUACUGUCAUUUUUAAAGUUGUAACAACAGAUAUAAUAUAUACAACAAGGAAAACAACAAAUUGAAUACUUUACAAACAGUUAGAUCUCGCAGCAGUGCACAGCGGAUUCUGAAUGGUAGAAAUUCUAGGGGAACACACAAACAAAACGCGAAUUCGAUCGAGAGAUCGAUGAACAGAAAUACACGGGCGAAAUUAGUAUAGCCUAAUUUAAACAUACCUUGCUGGAUCCAUCCAUCACGAGAGGCAGAAAUUAUUGAGAAUUCCGCUGUCUGAAUCCCAUUGCCACGCAUGAUCAGAUCUUGAACAUCAUCAUCCUGCUGGAUCCAUGAGUGAUGAUUCCACUGCACCAACCAAAUAUGAGAUGAUCCCACAGCGAUGACGAAAUUUGGUCUCUCUCUGCAAUUUCCCACAGCUUUAUUGAACUGCUCGAUCCCCGACGAAACUAGGGCAAAGGCGCUGGGAUCUCUGAUCACGAUUAAACCGCACGAAUUCAGGCAGUUCAAGAAAGCUGUGGAAGAUCACAAAGAGGGCCAGAUAAUGCAUCGAUCGAUCACGUAGGCGUCACCAUGGAAGGGAAUAGAUGGAGAUGAAAUCCAUGGAGGAGUGGACAACGCGAGGAUUCGGGGGAGAUGGUAGAGAGUUGUGGGAGAGGUUGGAGAGAAUACGAGUGGUUAUUUAUAGAACUACAA
This 1385-nucleotide long non-coding RNA is filed under the name Oryza brachyantha (malo sina). RNAcentral describes it as "long non-coding RNA (OBRA_LNC000649)". Lineage: Eukaryota; Viridiplantae; Streptophyta; Magnoliopsida; Poales; Poaceae. The record is from RNAcentral.